Molecule: ribosomal RNA, 792 nt
Filed under: Bacillus sp. (in: firmicutes)
Lineage: Bacteria; Bacillati; Bacillota; Bacilli; Caryophanales; Bacillaceae
Description: bacterial SSU rRNA
Rfam family: Bacterial small subunit ribosomal RNA
Source: RNAcentral
CUAUAAUGCAGUCGAGCGGACAGAUGGGAGCUUGCUCCCUGAUGUUAGCGGCGGACGGGUGAGUAACACGUGGGUAACCUGCCUGUAAGACUGGGAUAACUCCGGGAAACCGGGGCUAAUACCGGAUGGUUGUUUGAACCGCAUGGUUCAAACAUAAAAGGUGGCUUCGGCUACCACUUACAGAUGGACCCGCGGCGCAUUAGCUAGUUGGUGAGGUAACGGCUCACCAAGGCAACGAUGCGUAGCCGACCUGAGAGGGUGAUCGGCCACACUGGGACUGAGACACGGCCCAGACUCCUACGGGAGGCAGCAGUAGGGAAUCUUCCGCAAUGGACGAAAGUCUGACGGAGCAACGCCGCGUGAGUGAUGAAGGUUUUCGGAUCGUAAAGCUCUGUUGUUAGGGAAGAACAAGUACCGUUCGAAUAGGGCGGUACCUUGACGGUACCUAACCAGAAAGCCACGGCUAACUACGUGCCAGCAGCCGCGGUAAUACGUAGGUGGCAAGCGUUGUCCGGAAUUAUUGGGCGUAAAGGGCUCGCAGGCGGUUUCUUAAGUCUGAUGUGAAAGCCCCCGGCUCAACCGGGGAGGGUCAUUGGAAACUGGGGAACUUGAGUGCAGAAGAGGAGAGUGGAAUUCCACGUGUAGCGGUGAAAUGCGUAGAGAUGUGGAGGAACACCAGUGGCGAAGGCGACUCUCUGGUCUGUAACUGACGCUGAGGAGCGAAAGCGUGGGGAGCGAACAGGAUUAGAUACCCUGGUAGUCCACGCCGUAAACGAUGAGUGCUAAGUGUUA